GUGUCAGCCGCCGCGGUAAUACCGGCAGUCCGAGUGAUGGCCGAUCUUAUUGGGCCUAAAGCGUCCGUAGCUGGCCACGCAAGUCCAUCGGGAAAUCCACCUGCCCAACAGGUGGGCGCCCGGUAGAAACUGCGUGGCUUGGGACCGGAAGGCGCGACGGGUACGUCCGGGGUAGGAGUGAAAUCCCGUAAUCCUGGACGGACCGCCGAUGGCGAAAGCACGUCGCGAGAACGGAUCCGACAGUGAGGGACGAAAGCUAGGGUCUCGAACCGGAUUAGAUACCCCGGUAGUCC
Molecule: ribosomal RNA, 293 nt
Filed under: uncultured prokaryote
Description: partial 16S ribosomal RNA
Rfam family: Archaeal small subunit ribosomal RNA
Source: RNAcentral